This 308-nucleotide long non-coding RNA is filed under the name Vigna radiata. Its description in RNAcentral is "long non-coding RNA (VRAD_LNC017099)". Lineage: Eukaryota; Viridiplantae; Streptophyta; Magnoliopsida; Fabales; Fabaceae. The record is from RNAcentral.
UUGGAUAUUGAUUCUACUGGAACGUUUUGCAUUAGCUUGGAAAACCAUGUCUUGACAUUUUGAUGAUGGAUGAACAAAAAGAGGCUGCAACGUUUUCUCUGAAGGGGGCUGCAGGCACACGUUUGGAGAGCUCUUCCUCUCGGUACUUUGAAGGCCAAUUGCUGCCAUUUUUUUUUUUAUUUUGCUUAAACGUUGAGAAGCUUUUGGCUGGAUCCAUGUGAAUUUAAUUUGAUUUUGAAUGAAUGAAAGGAGGGGAAGCACGUUUUAGAAGGAUUCAUAGUUGUUUUCAUGGGUUGAAUUAAUGAAGC